Molecule: small nucleolar RNA, 87 nt
Organism: Triticum dicoccoides
Lineage: Eukaryota; Viridiplantae; Streptophyta; Magnoliopsida; Poales; Poaceae
Product: small nucleolar RNA snoR27
Exons: 1
Source: RefSeq, a predicted model, not a curated record
CAUGGAUCGAUGAUGUGAUUGUUAACUGCGUUAUCUAUCUUGAACUUCUCAAGUACUGAAGAAAAACAUUAUCUGCUGAGAUCCAAG